GUCGAGGGGUAGAGGGUGCUUGCACCCUUGAGACCGGCGCACGGGUGCGUAACGCGUAUGCAACCUACCUAUUGCAGGGGAAUAGCCCAGGGAAACUUGGAUUAAUGCCCCAUAGUCCAUAUUGAGAGCAUUUGAGAUAUGGUAAAGAUUUAUCGGCAAUAGAUGGGCAUGCGUCCCAUUAGCUAGUUGGUAUGGUAACGGCAUACCAAGGCUACGAUGGGUAGGGGCCCUGAGAGGGGGAUCCCCCACACUGGUACUGAGACACGGACCAGACUCCUACGGGAGGCAGCAGUGAGGAAUAUUGGACAAUGGGCGGGAGCCUGAUCCAGCCAUGCCGCGUGCAGGAAGACUGCCCUAUGGGUUGUAAACUGCUUUUUUACGGGAAGAAACACCCCCACGUGUGGGGGCUUGACGGUACCGUACGAAUAAGGACCGGCUAACUCCGUGCCAGCAGCCGCGGUAAUACGGAGGGUCCGAGCGUUAUCCGGAAUCAUUGGGUUUAAAGGGUCCGUAGGCGGGCGUCUAAGUCAGUGGUGAAAUCUCGCGGCUCAACCGUGAAAUUGCCAUUGAUACUGGUCGCCUUGAAUUAGUGUGAAGUGGCUAGAAUAUGUAGUGUAGCGGUGAAAUGCUUAGAUAUUACAUAGAAUACCGAUUGCGAAGGCAGGUCACUAACACUAUAUUGACGCUGAUGGACGAAAGCGUGGGGAGCGAACAGGAUUAGAUACCCUGGUAGUCCACGCCGUAAACGAUGGAUACUAGCUGUCCGGCCUACAUUGGUAGGCUGGGUGGCCAAGCGAAAGUGAUAAGUAUCCCACCUGGGGAGUACGUUCGCAAGAAUGAAACUCAAAGGAAUUGACGGGGGCCCGCACNAGCGGUGGAGCAUGUGGUUUAAUUCGAUGAUACGCGAGGAACCUUACCAGGGCUUAAAUGUAGUCUGACAGGGGUGGAAACACCCCCUUCUUCGGACAGACUGCAAGGUGCUGCAUGGUUGUCGUCAGCUCGUGCCGUGAGGUGUCAGGUUAAGUCCUAUAACGAGCGCAACCCCUGUCGUUAGUUGCCAGCAUGUAAAGAUGGGAACUCUAACGAGACUGCCGGUGCAAACCGUGAGGAAGGUGGGGAUGACGUCAAAUCAUCACGGCCCUUACGUCCUGGGCCACACACGUGCUACAAUGGCAGGUACAAUGGGCAGCCACGCCGCAAGGCGGAGCGAAUCCACAAAACCUGUCUCAGUUCGGAUCGGGGUCUGCAACUCGACCCCGUGAAGCUGGAAUCGCUAGUAAUCGGAUAUCAGCCAUGAUCCGGUGAAUACGUUCCCGGGCCUUGUACACACCGCCCGUCAAGCCAUGGAAGCUGGAAGCACCUGAAGUCCGUCACCGCGAGGAGC
RNAcentral lists this ribosomal RNA (1384 nucleotides) under Aequorivita vladivostokensis. RNAcentral describes it as "bacterial SSU rRNA". It matches the Rfam family "Bacterial small subunit ribosomal RNA". The record is from RNAcentral. Lineage: Bacteria; Pseudomonadati; Bacteroidota; Flavobacteriia; Flavobacteriales; Flavobacteriaceae.